CGAGCCGACCGGGCGGUCGCGGUCGCUCAGAACGGUCGCCGUGACGGCGACACGCUGAGGAUCGAGGAAAGUCCGGACUCCACAGAGCAGGGUGGUUGCUAACGACAACCCGGGGCGACCCGCGGGACAGUGCCACAGAGAACAGACCGCCGACACCCGCCCUCGGGCGAGUCGGUGAGGGUGAAACGGUGCGGUAAGAGCGCACCAGCGCCGCGGGUGACCACGGCGGCUCGGUAAACCCCACCCGGAGCAAGGUCGAAGGUCGCACCUCGCGGUGCGACUGCGCAGGUGUUCGAGGGCUGCUCGCCCGAGCCUGCGGGUGGACCGCUCGAGGCACCCGGCGACGGUGUGCCCAGAUGGAUGAUCGCCCCCGAUCCUCGUGGUCGGGACAGGAUCCGGCUUACAGGUCGACUCGUUCG
Molecule: RNase P RNA, 419 nt
Filed under: Williamsia sp.
Lineage: Bacteria; Bacillati; Actinomycetota; Actinomycetes; Mycobacteriales; Nocardiaceae
Description: RNase P RNA component class A
Rfam family: Bacterial RNase P class A
About the family: Ribonuclease P (RNase P) is a ubiquitous endoribonuclease, found in archaea, bacteria and eukarya as well as chloroplasts and mitochondria. Its best characterised activity is the generation of mature 5'-ends of tRNAs by cleaving the 5'-leader elements of precursor-tRNAs. Cellular RNase Ps are ribonucleoproteins.
Source: RNAcentral